Echinops telfairi (small Madagascar hedgehog) is the source of this 61-nucleotide microRNA precursor. The record is from Ensembl. NCBI's taxonomy places the organism in Eukaryota, Metazoa, Chordata, Mammalia, Afrosoricida, Tenrecidae.
GGGUCUCUCUGGUUAGACCAGAUCUGAGCCUGGGAGCUCUCUGGCUAACUAGGGAACCCAC